AACGACUCUCGGCAACGGAUAUCUCGGCUCUCGCAUCGAUGAAGAACGUAGCGAAAUGCGAUACUUGGUGUGAAUUGCAGAAUCCCGUGAACCAUCGAGUCUUUGAACGCAAGUUGCGCCCGAAGCCAUCAGGCCGAGGGCACGUCUGGCUGGGUGUCACACAACG
Molecule: ribosomal RNA, 166 nt
Filed under: Cynometra hankei
Lineage: Eukaryota; Viridiplantae; Streptophyta; Magnoliopsida; Fabales; Fabaceae
Description: 5.8S ribosomal RNA
Rfam family: 5.8S ribosomal RNA
About the family: 5.8S ribosomal RNA (5.8S rRNA) is a component of the large subunit of the eukaryotic ribosome.
Source: RNAcentral